AAGUCGUAACAAGGUUUCCGUAGGUGAACCUGCGGAAGGAUCAUUAUCGAAGUUUGCGAAGGUUGAGCUGGCCCUGCAUGUGCUCGCCUUCAACACAACCUCUUCAUCCCUUGUGCACCUUUGUAGGCUAUGAAUGAAAUUCCGGUUGCAAAACCGGGACGUGGAGUUUGCGGACUUCCGAGUUCGCUUCCUUCAAUCUUUUCAUGGUCUAUGUUUUUAUAUACUCUUAAGUCUGGAAUGUCUAUUGUUGGUCUUUGACCGAUAAAAUCUUAUACAACUUUCAACAACGGAUCUCUUGGCUCUC
Molecule: unclassified non-coding RNA, 304 nt
Filed under: fungal sp.
Lineage: Eukaryota; Fungi
Description: partial internal transcribed spacer region
Rfam family: Eukaryotic small subunit ribosomal RNA (bases 1-46)
Source: RNAcentral